AGCGAACGCUGGCGGCAGGCCUAACACAUGCAAGUCGAGCGGCCGUAGCAAUACGGCAGCGGCAGACGGGAUAGUAACACGUGGGAACGCGCCCUUCGGUUCGGAAUAACUCAGGGAAACUUGAGCUAAUACCGGAUACGCCCUUACGGGGAAAGAUUUAUUGCCGAAGGAACGGCCCGCGUCCGAUUAGCUAGUUGGUGAGGUAAUGGCUCACCAAGGCGACGAUCGGUAGCUGGUCUGAGAGGAUGACCAGCAUCACUGGGACUGAGACACGGCCCAGACUCCUACGGGAGGCAG
Molecule: ribosomal RNA, 297 nt
Filed under: uncultured Pseudomonadota bacterium
Lineage: Bacteria; Pseudomonadati; Pseudomonadota
Description: uncultured proteobacterium partial 16S ribosomal RNA
Rfam family: Bacterial small subunit ribosomal RNA
Source: RNAcentral